GGUGACUCUGGAUAAUUGUUACAGAUCGCAGUCGACCUUGCGUCGACGAGGGGUCCUUUAAAUGUCUGCCCUAUAAACUUUUGAUGGUAGGUAACCUGCCUUAUAUGGGGUAAACGGAUAACGGGGAGUCCGGGUUCGAUUCCGGAGAGGGAGCCUGAGAAACGGCUACCACUUCCAAGGAAGGCACCAGGCGCACAAAUUACCCACUCACAGUAUGGGGAGAUGGUGACGAAAAAAUACCCAUGCGGGACUCUUAUUGAGGCUCCUUAAUCGUAAUGAGUGAACUCUAAAUCAUUUCACGAGGAUCAAUUGGAUGGCAAGUCUGGUGCCGGCAGCCGUGGUAACUCCAGCUCCAAUAGCGUAUAUUACAUUUGCUGCAGUUAAAAAGCUUUUAUUGGAUCUCGGUAUCACUGUCGCCUACCAGGACUCGGCUGAUUGGGUCGGUGAAGGUGGGACCUUGGCAUCGCUCGGUGCCCCUUACCCAGGGAUGAUUAUGCUCGAGUUUGCGUGGCGGUGGUUUCAACUUUUCAGCCAUGUCUGUGGUAAAAUACCCGCAGGUGUAGGCGAGGGUAAGGCAGUGUUCUGCGACAGCUUGGUCCGUCGGCUCGUGUGCAUGCUUUUUCAUGCCCUUGAAAAGAUGUCUCUGGGCGGAUGGCAUGUUUACUUUGAACAAAUGUGAGUGCUCAAACCAGGCCGAUGUGGCCAGUAAACGUUUUGAAUGGAAAAGUGGAAUAGAACUUCGGUUCUAUUUCGUUUG
RNAcentral lists this non-coding RNA (757 nucleotides) under Schistocephalus solidus. RNAcentral's name for it is "Eukaryotic small subunit ribosomal RNA". It matches the Rfam family "Eukaryotic small subunit ribosomal RNA", at positions 245 to 847 of the family's 1831-position model. Lineage: Eukaryota; Metazoa; Platyhelminthes; Cestoda; Diphyllobothriidea; Diphyllobothriidae. The record is from Rfam by way of RNAcentral.